This 106-nucleotide ribosomal RNA is filed under the name Felis catus (domestic cat). The record is from RNAcentral. Lineage: Eukaryota; Metazoa; Chordata; Mammalia; Carnivora; Felidae.
GUCUACGGCCAUACCACCCUGAACGCAUCCGAUCUCAUCUACUUUCGGAAGCUAAGCAGAGUCAGGCCUGGUUAGUACUUGGUAUGGGAGUCCAAGGUGUGAAACA